AAGUCGUAACAAGGUUUUCGUAGGUGAACCUGCGGAAGGAUCAUUAGUGAAACAUAAGAGUGCUCUUCAUUGAGGCUCGUUUAACUAUCCAUUACACUUGUGCAUUUUGAAUCCAAACUUUCAACCCGAAAGGGCUUGACUGUUUAACAUUUACACCCUUAUGAAUUUAUUUGAUUGAUGAUGAUGUAUAAACCAUGAAAUGAAAGAAACAA
RNAcentral lists this unclassified non-coding RNA (212 nucleotides) under plant metagenome. Its description in RNAcentral is "partial contains small subunit ribosomal RNA and internal transcribed spacer 1". The stretch from base 1 to 46 matches the Rfam family "Eukaryotic small subunit ribosomal RNA", at positions 1786 to 1831 of the family's 1831-position model. The record is from RNAcentral.